Molecule: transfer RNA, 73 nt
Filed under: Ictidomys tridecemlineatus (thirteen-lined ground squirrel)
Lineage: Eukaryota; Metazoa; Chordata; Mammalia; Rodentia; Sciuridae
Description: Spermophilus tridecemlineatus (thirteen-lined ground squirrel) tRNA
Rfam family: tRNA
About the family: Transfer RNA (tRNA) molecules are approximately 80 nucleotides in length. Their secondary structure includes four short double-helical elements and three loops (D, anti-codon, and T loops).
Source: Rfam by way of RNAcentral
GGGGAUAUGGCUCACUGGUAGAGCACUUGCCUAGGAUGCGAGAGACCCUGCAUUUCAGUUCUUGGUGUCUCCG